GGACGAACGCUGGCGGCGUGCCUAACACAUGCAAGUCGAACGGAGUUAAGUGCUUCGGUAUUUAACUUAGUGGCGAACGGGUGAGUAACGCGUGAGAAACCUGCCUUUCAGUGGGGGACAACAGUUGGAAACGACUGCUAAUACCGCAUAAGCCACUAGGCUCGCAAUGGAAGCUAGGGGAAAGGAGUGAUCCGCUUUGAGAUGGCCUCGCGUCCGAUUAGCUAGUUGGUGGGGUAACGGCCCACCAAGGCGACGAUCAGUAGCCGGUCUGAGAGGAUGAACGGCCACAUUGGGACUGAGAUACGGCCCAG
This 311-nucleotide ribosomal RNA is filed under the name uncultured bacterium. RNAcentral describes it as "bacterial SSU rRNA". It matches the Rfam family "Bacterial small subunit ribosomal RNA", at positions 27 to 334 of the family's 1533-position model. The record is from RNAcentral.